This 495-nucleotide ribosomal RNA is filed under the name uncultured bacterium. RNAcentral's name for it is "partial 16S ribosomal RNA". It matches the Rfam family "Bacterial small subunit ribosomal RNA", at positions 28 to 507 of the family's 1533-position model. The record is from RNAcentral.
GACGCACGCUGGCGGCGUGCCUAAUACAUGCAAGUAGAACGCUGAAGGCGGAUCUUGCUCUUCUGGCUGAGUUGCGAACGGGUGAUUAACGCGUAGGUAACCUGCCUGGUAGCGGGGGAUAACUCUUGGAAACGAUAGCUAAUACCGCAUAACAGUACAUGCUGCAUGACAUUUUCUUAAAACUUCCAAUUGCCUCACUACCAGAUGGACCUGCGUUGUAUUAGCUAGUUGGUGGGGUAACGGCUCACCAAGGCGACGUUACAUAGCCGACCUGGGGGGGGGAUCGGCCAGACUGGGACUGAGACAGGGCCCAGACUCCAACAGGAGGGAGCAGUAGCGAAUUUUCGGCAAUGGACGUAAGACUGACCGAGCAACGCCGAGUGAGUGACGAAGCUUGUCGGAUCGUAAAGCUCUGUUGUAGGAGAAGAACGAGUGUGCGAGUGGAAGGGUCACUCUGUGACGGUAUCUGACCAGAAAGGGACGGAUAACUACGUG